This is a long non-coding RNA of Rosa chinensis, 1098 nucleotides long. RefSeq lists it as uncharacterized. Lineage: Eukaryota; Viridiplantae; Streptophyta; Magnoliopsida; Rosales; Rosaceae. The record is from RefSeq and is a predicted model, not a curated record. The transcript is spliced from 2 exons.
CUUAUUUUCCCCUUCUCUGAGUUCUCUCAUUCUCGGCCGCACGGGCCUCUCUCUCUUCUUUCUCUCCUUCCUCUCGUCAUCCCUAUUAUUGCUGGAAAAGACUCCAUCCGGCCACCAUUUAUUGACACCGCCACCACCAAUUGAACCACAACACAAAUCCGAUCAAAACCGGAACCUCACUGUGGCCGGGGCCCGCCUGCAACCACUGGACGCGAGCAUCACAAUUUUCGCCGCCUUGUUCUUCGAUCUUCGUCAGCUUCCGGCCUUCUUUUCAACACACCGCCACCUUGGAACAACUCAGCAGACAAGGAGGAGCAAAACCCAGAGGUUCCGUUACCCACUGAUGCCGAGCGAGGCUGUACUCGCCGUCGCCGGAAACUGGGAUUCUGCAAGGAUCAAUUCGUCGUCUCCGGCGAUAUCUGUGCUACACAACCACCAUUAAUGGGAUCAGCAUCUCCCUUUUCACCAAAACCCUCUGGUUCCGACCUCCAAUUCCGGCUAGAAAUGCCGCACGCGCCGCCGCUGGCGCGUGGAGCACCGUGGCUCCGUUGCCAGAUUUCCAGACAACCUUUAUUAGGAUUGGUGAUCUUCUCCGUUUUGGAGAUUUGGAGAAGGGGAAGCUAUUUAGUCAGUUUCGAUUGCAAUCGACUAAGGUAAGGAUGAUGUACAGAAUUUUGUAUUGGAUACAAAUUGGUUGAGGGUUGAUUGUUAGUCUUUGCUAUGAUUCUGGGGUUUCGAAUGGUGGAUGGUAGCGGAAUGCAAUGAGGACAGAUUGGUCUCUAAUUUGGAAAGAAGAAAUGGUGUUGAUCUCUACCAAGCCGCUGGCUUUGAUGUGGUGAUGGUAAAUUCUAGUGAUUUAUUAUUGAAUGGAUGUAAGUUGGGAUGUGUGAACGUAUCAUCAGAAGAAUAAGAGUUUGGUUGUUGGAACUAAAUAAAUCAAAGUGGAAGGAUGCUUAAUUUCAUGAGCAAAUUGUUAAAAGAAUUUCGGACAUGACUUCAAUUAAAUGUGGAUUGGAUAAUUGGAAAUGGUGUAGAUAGUUAUAGGAUUAAUUUCAGGUUACUUAUUUCAAUUUUAGGUCAAUCUUCAUCUUCAUAUUA